UACGUAGGGUGCAAGCGUUAAUCGGAAUUACUGGGCGUAAAGCGUGCGCAGGCGGUUUUGUAAGACAGAUGUGAAAUCCCUAGGCUCAACCUAGGAACUGCAUAUGUGACUGCAAAGCUAGAGUACGGUAGAGGAGGAUGGAAUUCCGCGUGUAGCAGUGAAAUGCGUAGAGAUGCGGAGGAACACCGAUGGCGAAGGCAAUCCUCUGGGCCUGUACUGACGCUCAAGCACGAAAGCGUGGGGAG
This 245-nucleotide ribosomal RNA is filed under the name uncultured bacterium. Its description in RNAcentral is "partial 16S ribosomal RNA". It matches the Rfam family "Bacterial small subunit ribosomal RNA", at positions 524 to 768 of the family's 1533-position model. The record is from RNAcentral.